RNAcentral lists this transfer RNA (74 nucleotides) under Rickettsiales bacterium. RNAcentral describes it as "tRNA-Gly". It matches the Rfam family "tRNA". From Rfam's summary of the family: Transfer RNA (tRNA) molecules are approximately 80 nucleotides in length. Their secondary structure includes four short double-helical elements and three loops (D, anti-codon, and T loops). Further hydrogen bonds mediate the characteristic L-shaped molecular structure. tRNAs have two regions of fundamental functional importance: the anti-codon, which is responsible for specific mRNA codon recognition, and the 3' end, to which the tRNAs corresponding amino acid is attached (by aminoacyl-tRNA synthetases). tRNAs cope with the degeneracy of the genetic code in two manners: having more than one tRNA (with a specific anti-codon) for a particular amino acid; and 'wobble' base-pairing, i.e. permitting non-standard base-pairing at the 3rd anti-codon position. The record is from RNAcentral. Lineage: Bacteria; Pseudomonadati; Pseudomonadota; Alphaproteobacteria; Rickettsiales.
GCGGGUGUAGCUCAAUGGUAGAGCCCCAGCCUUCCAAGCUGGUCGUGAGGGUUCGAUCCCCUUCACCCGCUCCA